RNAcentral lists this signal recognition particle RNA (98 nucleotides) under bacterium. Its description in RNAcentral is "signal recognition particle sRNA small type". It matches the Rfam family "Bacterial small signal recognition particle RNA". Rfam says of the family: The signal recognition particle (SRP) is a universally conserved ribonucleoprotein involved in the co-translational targeting of proteins to membranes. Archaeal SRP consists of a 7S RNA and homologues of the eukaryotic SRP19 and SRP54 proteins. In most bacteria, the SRP consists of a 4.5S RNA and the Ffh protein (a homologue of the eukaryotic SRP54 protein). The record is from RNAcentral.
UAUCGGGCCUGUUGCGGGUGAUCGCUAUGAACUGCGUCAGGAUCGGAAGGUAGCAGCGCUAAGUGGAUGAUUACGGCGCCGGCAGUCACCUGAUACCC